AUAAAAGAAAGUAAAUAAGGGCGCAUGGCGGAUGCCUUGGCUCUCGGAGGCGAUGAAGGACGUGAUAAGCUGCGAUAAGCUUCGGGUAGGUGCAAAUGACCUUUGAUCCGAAGAUUUCCGAAUGGGACAACCCGGCAUUCUGAAGGAAUGUCAUCCAACCUGGUUGGAGGCUAACGCAGGGAACUGAAACAUCUUAGUACCUGCAGGAAAAGAAAAUAAAUAAUGAUUCCCCUAGUAGUGGCGAGCGAACGGGGAUUAGCCCAAACCACCCAUGUUACGGCAUGUGUGGGGUUGUAGGACCACGCUCUCGCAAGACAGUUAUUGAGAAGAAACGACUGGAAAGUCGUGCCAUAGACGGUGAUAGCCCGGUAUUCUAAGGUAACCGAAGCGUAGUGGUAUCCUGAGUAGCGCGGAGCACGAGGAAUUCUGCGUGAAUCAGCCGGGACCAUCCGGUAAGGCUAAAUACUCCCGAGAGACCGAUAGCGAACCAGUACUGUGAAGGAAAGGUGAAAAGCACUUCGAAUAGAAGAGUGAAAUAGUCCCUGAAACCAUGCGCCUACAAGCGGUCGGAGCAGC
This 576-nucleotide ribosomal RNA is filed under the name Bacteroides fragilis. RNAcentral's name for it is "partial 23S ribosomal RNA". It matches the Rfam family "Bacterial large subunit ribosomal RNA", at positions 1 to 583 of the family's 2925-position model. The record is from RNAcentral. Lineage: Bacteria; Pseudomonadati; Bacteroidota; Bacteroidia; Bacteroidales; Bacteroidaceae.